This 320-nucleotide ribosomal RNA is filed under the name uncultured eukaryote. RNAcentral's name for it is "partial 18S ribosomal RNA". It matches the Rfam family "Eukaryotic small subunit ribosomal RNA", at positions 1470 to 1796 of the family's 1831-position model. The record is from RNAcentral.
CCCCUAGAUGUUCUGGGCCGCACGCGCGCUACACUGAACAGUUCAACAAGUCUUAACCUUGGCCGAUAGGUCUGGGUAAUCUUUGAACGCUGUUCGUGAUUGGGAUAGACCUUUGCAAUUAUGGGUCUUCAACGAGGAAUUCCUAGUAAACGCAAGUCAUCAGCUUGCAUUGAUUACGUCCCUGCCCUUUGUACACACCGCCCGUCGCACCUACCGAUCGAAUGGUCCGGUGAAAUCUCGGGACGGCGGCUUGGUCGCUUGCGUCCGACUGCUGAAACUUGAUUAAACCAUAUCAUUUAGAGGAAGGUGAAGUCGUANCA